GCUGGGCGUGGUGGCUCACGCCUGUAAUCCCAACACCCUGGGAGGCCGAGGUGGGUGGAUCACCUGAGGUCAGGAGUUCAAGACCAGCCUGGCCAACAUGGUGAAACCCUGUCUCUA
RNAcentral lists this small RNA (117 nucleotides) under Pongo abelii (Sumatran orangutan). RNAcentral's name for it is "Metazoan signal recognition particle RNA (ENSPPYG00000030047.1)". Lineage: Eukaryota; Metazoa; Chordata; Mammalia; Primates; Hominidae. The record is from Rfam by way of RNAcentral.